RNAcentral lists this unclassified non-coding RNA (213 nucleotides) under Hevea brasiliensis (rubber tree). The record is from RNAcentral. Lineage: Eukaryota; Viridiplantae; Streptophyta; Magnoliopsida; Malpighiales; Euphorbiaceae.
ACCUUACAUUGCUUCCUAAUGUGUUGUAAGAUGCUUUGGCUUACAAAGGUCAAUGGUAAACCUUGUCAAGCUUCCAAAGGUUUUACUAGAUUUAUCAUCCUCAUUGGUGAAGAUCCUUGCCAUGCUUCUUAAGGUGUUGCAAGCAUUCCUAGCCUACUCUAAGGUUAGUGAAGACACUUGCAGAGCUUCCUACAGUUAUGUAGCAUUCAUCGG